CCUACGGGAGGCAGCAGUGGGGCAUAUUGCACAAUGGGGGAAACCCUGAUGCAGCGACGCCGCGUGAGUGAAGAAGUAAUUCGUUACGUAAAGCUCUAUCAGCAGGGAAGAAAUACUGACCUUACGGUCAGCAGACGGUACCUGAGUACGAAGCCCCGGCUAACUACGUGCCAGCAGCCGCGGUAAGACGUAGGGGGCAAGCGUUAUCCGGAUUUACGUGGUGUAAAGGGGGCGUAGGCGGUGCGCCAAGUCUGGAGUGAAAUGCCGCAGCUUAACGGCGGAACGGCUUUGGAAACUGGCGAACUAGAGUGCGGGAUGGGUAAGCGGAAUUCCUGGUGUAGCGGUGAAAUGCGUAGAUAUUAGGAGGAACACCGGUGGCGAAGGCGGCUUACUGGACCGUAACUGACGCUGAGGCUCGAAAGCGUGGGGAGCAAACAGGAUUAGAUACCCCUGUAGUC
This 458-nucleotide ribosomal RNA is filed under the name uncultured bacterium. RNAcentral describes it as "partial 16S ribosomal RNA". It matches the Rfam family "Bacterial small subunit ribosomal RNA", at positions 338 to 795 of the family's 1533-position model. The record is from RNAcentral.